GGGGGUGUAGUUGAGUGGUUGAACACUUAGCUAACACGUGAGUUCCUGGGUUUGAGUCCCAGCACCUCAC
Molecule: transfer RNA, 70 nt
Filed under: Heterocephalus glaber (naked mole-rat)
Lineage: Eukaryota; Metazoa; Chordata; Mammalia; Rodentia; Bathyergidae
Rfam family: tRNA
About the family: Transfer RNA (tRNA) molecules are approximately 80 nucleotides in length. Their secondary structure includes four short double-helical elements and three loops (D, anti-codon, and T loops). Further hydrogen bonds mediate the characteristic L-shaped molecular structure. tRNAs have two regions of fundamental functional importance: the anti-codon, which is responsible for specific mRNA codon recognition, and the 3' end, to which the tRNAs corresponding amino acid is attached (by aminoacyl-tRNA synthetases). tRNAs cope with the degeneracy of the genetic code in two manners: having more than one tRNA (with a specific anti-codon) for a particular amino acid; and 'wobble' base-pairing, i.e. permitting non-standard base-pairing at the 3rd anti-codon position.
Source: Rfam by way of RNAcentral